UUAAGCAAUGUUUGCCAAAAGCAAAUCUGGGGACGGGUGUUGAUUUUAAAAGAGAAGGAAAGAAGAGCUAGUUGCUCACUGCAGGUUCUCCUGGCUCGGCGGUGCAGAGGCAAAGGCCUGUUUCUGCAAAGACUUUGAGGACCCAUGACUCUUCCUCAACCUCCAGACCGCUGGAGGUCCCUGAUAGUUGAAUAAGCUAAGUGCAGUGUGCCCGCCUAGUUCUUUCCUGGAAGAUGAAACGCAGCUCCCGAGUCGGGAGACGGAAGAAUGGAUAAACAUUCCUCAAUUGCUGUUGAUAGGUUCUCACCCCAGAACCCGGGCAGUCGGCCUCAUGCUCCAGAGUGCAGGUCCCGUAAGGCGUGAGUAUGGGGGUGUUUUCCACCAUGACACCAUGUGCAUCCCCACACGGCCCCCAAACGUAAUUAACAUGUCCUGUGGCUGUUGGAGAUUCUGGCUUGUUUAGAGAACUGGCUACCUGGCACUCCAUGCUCGACUGCAAAGAAAUGCUCUUUUGUGAUAACACGUCUGGACAUCCAGUGCAAGAAACUGAGCGUUAGCCCCCCUGACCCUCCCACCGCCCAGAAAGACUCCAACUGAAAGGUUGCACAAUGGCUGAUCAAAGUCUACCACAUUUCUUUCCAGGGCUACGAUUUUGUUCUGUCUCCACUCUGGGGAGUUGGAAGGCUGGAGCACGGACCAGCCAUCCCUCCCCCUACCUCCUGGUGAUGUUUGGAAAUCUUAAUUUUGUUUUAUAGGUCACAGGUCAGCCCAUCCAUGCGGAUCCUUGUAAUUGGACAGGACGUGCUUUGUGUGGUCUGAUUACAUCUUUUCUUUCAGACCCAAGGGGAGCCGUCAAUUAGAGCCGUGCUUGAGCCUAAGGCUGACCUGAACCGUUUGAAGGCAGAUCUUCCAUGGAGCGCCCCGGUACUACUUCAUUUCCAGGAAUCUUAAUUACAAGGCAUUACUCUGAUGGAUUGAAUGUAUUAAGUAGCCUCAAUUCACCCCAGUUUGCAGCCCUUUGGGAGGCGGCUCCCGUCCCAUCAUUUUCUGCCCCCCUUUGCUGCCCCAGUGCCAUGGCACCCGGAGGGCUUUGUUCCAAACCAACUUUGAGUCGUGAGUAUUAUCUGAAGCCCCUCCCUUGCCUGGAGGCCUUUCAGAAACUACUUUAUCUCUUGCAGGUCCUUUUCUGGAAAGGUCAAAGGGACGAGAGGGGGUCUCUGCAGUGUCCUGGAUCUGGUUUCAACCUCACCUUCUCCAUGUAUGAGAAAACAAGUCACUUGGAUUCACUGUGCCUCGGUUUCCCCAGAUGGCGAGCAGGACUCAGUCUUUUGGAAACUGAUCUCUUACUAGAACCAAGUCAACAAGAGCUACCCUUGGACUCUAGAUGCCUGGGAGGGUCUGGAGUCGUCAGGCAGAAGGAGAAGGUGGAGCGGGUCUUCCCGGAGGCCGGCUCCCACAGGGGCGGCCAAGGCUCUGGGCCUCUCGGCGUGCCUCUGUGGAUCCUGUUGGAUCCAGAACCGUCUGGAUCACCUGAAGAGUUAUUUGAAACCAGCUGA
Cercocebus atys (sooty mangabey) is the source of this 1556-nucleotide long non-coding RNA. NCBI's taxonomy places the organism in Eukaryota, Metazoa, Chordata, Mammalia, Primates, Cercopithecidae. The record is from Ensembl.